UGGAGUUUUUAGCCUUUUAACAUUCAAGGAUUAGAGCUCCCUCUUUGCCCACUAGCAGGGCAUUAGCUGGUGCUGAAGACAGUGGCUGCUUGGCGAGCCUGGAUCUCCAAGUGACUCCAAGUGACCCCCUCAGCAACUCCUGAUGAACAGGACUGAAGCCAAUAUUAAAGCAAGUCAACCAAAGAUUCUCUGGUGUAGACAAGACAGCAAAAGGACAGACUACCUUGUGGAACCUAGCAUUGUUCUCCUUCUGCAGCACUAAGUAACAUUUGUGCUCCGUUAAGAUCUUUGCAAACCACACACAAGAAUUGCUGGUCAUCCUGCCAAUAGAUGCUGCUCACAGAACCAAAUUUCCUGUGCUGAAUUGUCACUCAUGGGCUUGAGAGUAGGAGACUGGAGACCAAGGUGGCUAGAAUCCAGUUGGGCCUGAUGUCUCCCUGUUGAAAGGGCUCCUUGUGGAAUAAACAGCACAUGGCUCCCGUGGUGGAUCUGAUAGUGGCACAGCACCAAGUGAUGCAGGCCUGCCAGGGGCCACAGACACAGAAGAUGCUCCCAGGGUCCCCCGUGUACUCCAGACACACUGCAGGCCACCUCUCCCAGCAGGUUGCCAGUCAUGGGCCCCAUCAUCAUGACUUCUGUCCAAGGUACUGUGUGCAGAAAUGUGAUUGAGAUUCAAGUCAGGGCCUCUCUGCCCUUUUCCCUCCAGAAACAAAACCAAGAUAAUUUAUCCUGAACACGGUGAAAAAAGGAAGGGAGGGAGGAGAAAAAGUCCGGGUCUCACCUGGGAUUCUCUGUCUCCUGCAACAUGAAGGAUUUAGCCUGGGAGGAGGUGGUGAGAACUCUGGGAGAGAAAAAAGAAGGAAAGAAUAGUUUUACCCAUGCUGAAGUUAAUUUAAACCUUCACCUAGAGAAGCAAAAAAACCCCCACACUUUUCCAUUUUGUGCCUCCCUUCCUAGAGUUUUAGCCAAAGGUUUAGCUAAGUAAUUGGUUUUACCAGGGCACUCACUCUUCCUAUCCCGAGUCUGUUUGACUCCCUCCCCAUCAUCCUCCUCACCUCUUUUCAGGCAGGGUGGGGAUAGCAGCAGGAGGAGAUUUUGGGAGCCUGGCAACUCCUGCAAGGACCGCAGGACAGCCCCUCUGUGGGGAUGCGUGGUGCCCCAUCUGCCGCCCUUCUGAAGAAUGCACUGCCUUCACUUUUUACUGUGUUAGAGUCCAUCCAGACUGUUCUAUCCAAAAAAGAGUUUCUUUUUCCCCCACAGGCAAUCAGGAAAUGAUUCCUUUCCCAACUGCUUCUGUCUAGUGCCUGGGAAUCUUGAGUCAAUCCCUCAGUAAGUCAGUGACUAUAGAAAUCCCUCUCUGAGCCUCCCAGUUCAUGUUGCUUAGGGAACCUGAUAUUUUCAUGAAACCUGCCUACACAUGGGCAGCCCAACAGCAGAACAAAUGGUGGUGACCAAAGUGAACAAAGAAGUAUAGUUGUGCCAGCUUCGUAGUUGCCCAUGUGGACAAGUCAGCAGGAUCAGGACACGAGGAAGAGUAAAUGUGAGACAGUCAAUGUGACUUCUGCGAUAAACAGAUUUUUAAACCCCGAAAUUUUGCAAAAUUUUGGUGAAACCUGAACUUUCUUCGUUGCAUAUACUGGCACUAUCUGUACCAUCAUACAACUGUCUCACAUUAAAGCUAUUUUUCUUGGGCACUGAUGAGCAAGGUUGGUAUGUUUGAGUUCCUCAGAUCAACAAAAACCCAUUUUCCUAUAAGUCUUACAUUUAGUAUUUAAGGAACUAAAACUUAAAUACAUUUUGUGAAAUGGUUGACACUUCACUGAUAAUGAUUUAUUGCUUGGAUUAAUAAAUUUUCCAAAAGUUGUCUUAUUAUGUAGAAUAUGGUUUGCAACCAGCAGAACCAUUAAUCUAUACUGCAAUGAUAUGCACUAUGUAUAAUUGUUUAAAAGCCUCUACUUAAUGAUGUAAAAUGCUCUAUUUAAUUACACAUUUGGGUAAACUGUAUACUAACAUCUGAUGGCAUUUUUCCACUGUUUGUUGCUUUUUUCAAAUACUUUAUUGUACAAAGCUGUUCUUAAUAUUGUUCAAGUUUUUUUUCUUUGAAUUUUGCUAAUGUUUUCCUUGAAUUAUGAGCACUGACAGAAUGUGCUUAGCACUUUUGGCUAUUCACACAGCUUUUGAGCAUGAUUUGCAUCCAAUAUUUACAUUGCUAGCAAUAAUAAGCCAUCUGUGAGUUUUGUCAAAAGUUAUUGGGGAUUUUUUAAAUUUUAGAAGUGCAAAUUAUUGUUUCUUUGAACUAACUCUUAUGCAGUUGCAAAGGCAUUUCCAGUUGUUAUAGUUUAUGUAUAAUAUCAGGUGUUCCAGAUUAUGAUUCAUUAUUAAUAUCAUUGCUUCCUUGUUCCCUGAGGUCCAGAAGAUUCAUGUUUACAAUAUUUAGAAACAAUGUUAAAAAGGU
RNAcentral lists this non-coding RNA (2455 nucleotides) under Pan troglodytes (chimpanzee). Lineage: Eukaryota; Metazoa; Chordata; Mammalia; Primates; Hominidae. The record is from RNAcentral.